RNAcentral lists this ribosomal RNA (627 nucleotides) under uncultured bacterium. Its description in RNAcentral is "bacterial SSU rRNA". It matches the Rfam family "Bacterial small subunit ribosomal RNA", at positions 338 to 951 of the family's 1533-position model. The record is from RNAcentral.
CCUACGGGAGGCAGCAGUGGGGAAUUUUGGACAAUGGGCGCAAGCCUGAUCCAGCAAUGCCGCGUGAGUGAAGAAGGCCUUCGGGUUGUAAAGCUCUUUUGUCAGGGAAGAAACGGUUGAGGCUAAUAUCCUCGGCUAAUGACGGUACCUGAAGAAUAAGCACCGGCUAACUACGUGCCAGCAGCCGCGGUAAUACGUAGGGUGCAAGCGUUAAUCGGAAUUACUGGGCGUAAAGCGUGCGCAGGCGGUUUUGUAAGUCUGUCGUGAAAGCCCCGGGCUUAACCUGGGAAUUGCGAUGGAGACUGCAAGGCUUGAAUCUGGCAGAGGGGGGUAGAAUUCCACGUGUAGCAGUGAAAUGCGUAGAGAUGUGGAGGAACACCGAUGGCGAAGGCAGCCCCCUGGGUCAAGAUUGACGCUCAUGCACGAAAGCGUGGGGAGCAAACAGGAUUAGAUACCCUGGUAGUCCACGCCCUAAACGAUGUCUACUAGUUGUCGGGUCUUAAUUGACUUGGUAACGCAGCUAACGCGUGAAGUAGACCGCCUGGGGAGUAACGGUCGCAAAGNUUAAAACGUUCAAAAGGAAUUGACGGCGNGAGACGNGCCGACGGACGACGACGAGGGAGGAGG